AUUGAACGCUGGCGGCAGGCUUAACACAUGCAAGUCGGACGAGUGGCGGACGGGUGAGUAAUGCAUGGGAAUCUAGCUUAUAGAGGGGGAUAACUACGGGAAACUUUAGCUAAUACCGCGUACCAUCGGAUGAGCCCAAGUGGGAUUAGGUAGUUGGUGAGGUAAAGGCUCACCAAGCCGACGAUCUCUAGCUGGUCUGAGAGGAUGACCAGCCACACUUGGACUGGGACACGGCCCAGACUCCGUCGGGAGGGAGCAGUGGGGAAUUUUGCGCAAUGGGGGCAACCCUAAGCAGCCAUGCCGCGGGAAUGAAGAAGGCCCUCGGGUUGGAAAGUUCUUUCGGGAGCGAGGCGUUAACUACAGAAGAAGCAACGGCUAAAUCCGUGGCAGGCGCCGGGGUAAUAC
RNAcentral lists this ribosomal RNA (405 nucleotides) under uncultured bacterium. RNAcentral describes it as "partial 16S ribosomal RNA". It matches the Rfam family "Bacterial small subunit ribosomal RNA", at positions 30 to 526 of the family's 1533-position model. The record is from RNAcentral.